RNAcentral lists this ribosomal RNA (546 nucleotides) under Acidovorax delafieldii. RNAcentral describes it as "bacterial SSU rRNA". It matches the Rfam family "Bacterial small subunit ribosomal RNA", at positions 920 to 1466 of the family's 1533-position model. The record is from RNAcentral. Lineage: Bacteria; Pseudomonadati; Pseudomonadota; Betaproteobacteria; Burkholderiales; Comamonadaceae.
CCCACACGCACGGGCGAUGCCCUCCCCUGAUUCAUUGCAACGCAAGAGACAUACCCCACCCUCGACAGGCAUGGAAUCAAUCAGAGAGAGAGGAGUGAUUGAUAGAGAGCGAUCACACACACGGGGCAUGGAUGUCGUUAGUUAGUUUGGUUAGAUGGUGGGUUAAGUCCCUCAACGAGCGCAACCCUCCUCAUUCAUUGGUUCAUUCAGAUGGGCACUCUAAUGGGACUGCCGGUGACAAACCGGAGGAAGGUGGGGAUGACGUCAAGUCCUCAUGGCCCUUAUAGGUGGGGCUACACACGUCAUACAAUGGCUGGUACAGAGGGUUGCCAACCCGCGAGGGGGAGCCAAUCCCAUAAAGCCAGUCGUAGUCCGGAUCGCAGUCUGCAACUCGACUGCGUGAAGUCGGAAUCGCUAGUAAUCGCGGAUCAGAAUGUCGCGGUGAAUACGUUCCCGGGUCUUGUACACACCGCCCGUCACACCAUGGGAGCGGGUUCUGCCAGAAGUAGUUAGCCUAACCGCAAGGAGGGCGAUUACCACGGCAGU